GGUGACAAUGCGCGAAAUCAGAUAAAUAUUCCUCAAUUCAUCAGAGCGUGCACUAAUGCAAUUUCAUCAAUAAGAUUCAGGAGAGAAGCAACAUUUGUUUAAGGGGGAUUUAAUUUUCUGCAAGGACGGAGAAGCUUAAUCCAAUCAGUUUUAAUAUACAUGGGGAGUUGACCAACAUUUGUGAAGCUUUGAUAGUUUAUAUCUGGUUUGUGGUCAAAAAUAGCUCAAAAUAUAAAAUAGGAAGAGAUUGGGGGUGAAAGAGAUAUGUCAUGGAUUGAAUACAUUUUGAACACACUUUUC
This is a non-coding RNA of Caenorhabditis elegans, 300 nucleotides long. The record is from Ensembl. Lineage: Eukaryota; Metazoa; Nematoda; Chromadorea; Rhabditida; Rhabditidae.